AUCUGAAUAACUAAAUAAUAUAUUUUGUUAGGAAUUGUUAUGUUGCUGUUAUUUUUGUUAGUGUUGUGGAUGUUUGUAAAACGUGGACUGAUCCACGUUAUACAAAAUAUAGUGUAUAACGUGGAUCAAUCCACAUUUUACAAGUUGAAACAUUGUGGAACUGGAUAUUGCCAAUAAUAGACCGAUGAUGACAUUUUCGGUACAGGAAAAAAGAAUUGUGAAAUGUGUCAAAGAAUCGAAUUUUUUCCUCUCUUUUUGUGAAUGUUGCUUUGUUUGAUGUAUUUAUGCAUUACCAUAGUAAUUUAUGACUGCAGAACCUGUAAUUUCUUCAAUAUAUUUUGUUAUGGAUUUUUAUACAAUAUAUUUUGUUAUGGAUUGUUAUACAAUAUAUUUUUUUAAUAGUGAGUUACUCCAAAUAACUUGAUCUGGAUUUCAUUUUUUUUUUUGUAUAAGGUAUGGAGUUUCCACGGGUAUGCGUACAUCCGGGGCCAGAAGUGUACGAUGUGUUAACACUCCAGGAGAAGCAUCGAUCAGAGGCUGUGUGGGAUGGUUCCUUGAGAGGACCGACCGGAUGCCUGUUUCCUCGCCGCGCGGAUACUGAAUUUUGGAAGCAUGUGAGGCGUCAUCCUUUUCAUCCUCGCAUCCUUGACUACUUUGGCCUGUGUGGAUUUAGGGGAGUAAUAUAGGUAGGAUGUGUAUCAUAUGAUUGGGCAGUCAUCACUGCACUUAUAGAGAGAUGGCGUCCUGAGACGCACACCUUUCAUCUGCGUACAGGUGAGGCGACCAUCACAUUACAAGAUAUCGAGGUCAUGUUUGGCUUGGUUGUUGAUGGUUAUCCCUUGAAUAAUCUUAAUGCUAGAUAUAUCGAUAUUGGUGGGUGGCAACAAUUGAUCCAUGAGCUUACUGGUUGGGCACCCGGUCUGGAUUGUUUUAAUGGUGUUAGUAGGUUAGAAGUACAUAAAUUAAUUGAAUAUAUUAGAGGCUUAGAUGAUAUUACAGAUCAGACCCCAGAAAUUGAUGUGCAGCAGCGGGUUAGGUUGUACUUGCUAUGGCUUUGUGGCGGCACGAUAUUUCCGGAUAAGUCCGGUGACUUACUGAAUUUAGAUUAUUUGCUUGACAUGCGUGACCUUAGAGCAAUGAAUGAACAAGCUUGGGGAGCGGCUGCAUUGUCAUAUUUGUAUACUUGUUUAUGACGUGCUUCGUUGAGGAAAGCGAAGGAUGUGUGUGGAUUCAUUUCCUUAUUGCAGGUUUGGGCUUGGGAGCGCAUUAUACCGAUGCAGCCACCAUGCAGGGCUCUUCCGCCACACACGGCUCUUGCACGAAGGUGGACUCAUCGUAAAUCCCACGAAAAUGAGGCACGUGAUGUUUUACCCAUAUGUAGGGAUGUAUUGGACAACCUAAUAGAUGGCCAGUUUGUGUGGCAGCCUUAUUCAGAGGCCAUCAUCAACAGACUCCCUGAGUGGUGUCUGCGUGGCCGAGAUAUUUGGAUGGCGAAAGUUCCCCUUAUUUGUGGGAUCUAUCGAGAGUGGCACAUGUUAGACCGCGUUUUCAGACAGUUUGGUAGGAAGCAACAUAUUCCGGGUCCAUAUGCAGAGAUUGAUCCUUUUCAUUACAAACGUGACAAGCGGUAUGCUAUAAAAGUGGAGGAUCAAGAAUAUUUUACAGAAACAGACUUUUUGUGGGGAAAUCGUCGAGAUAGUUUAAUUCGGGCCGAGUAUGAAACUCAAGAUCCACAGUCACUAUCAGAGUAUUUUUGUUGGUAUCGACGUCGCUUGCGCACUUUCAUAGGAAAUCCUGCGCAUAAAGUGGAUAGAGGAUACCUGUUGA
Long non-coding RNA from Lycium barbarum (goji berry), 1827 nucleotides. RefSeq lists it as uncharacterized. The record is from RefSeq and is a predicted model, not a curated record. NCBI's taxonomy places the organism in Eukaryota, Viridiplantae, Streptophyta, Magnoliopsida, Solanales, Solanaceae. The transcript has 3 exons.